AUGAAUUAAGUGUUGAGAAGGGGUUGUAGCUGGCCACUCUGUAGGCAUGUGCACACCUUGAUCACACAUAUUCUCAUCUUACACCUGUGCACAAUAUGUAGCUUUGGAAUGAUUACAGAGUUAUUAAUAAUAAUAGCACUGGAAAGUUCCUCUAGCUAUGAAUUUUAUAUAUAAUAUACACUUGUAAAAAACAAUGUAACAGAAUAUUAUAUGAAAGUAACUA
This 223-nucleotide unclassified non-coding RNA is filed under the name uncultured Thelephorales. RNAcentral's name for it is "sequence contains ITS1". Lineage: Eukaryota; Fungi; Basidiomycota; Agaricomycetes; Thelephorales. The record is from RNAcentral.